CAUGGUUGUCGUCAGCUCGUGUCGUGAGAUGUUCGGGUUAAGUCCCGCAACGAGCGCAACCCUCGACCUUAGUUGCCAGCAUUCAGUUGGGCACUCUAAGGUGACUGCCGGCUAAAAGUCGGAGAAGGUGGGGAUGACGUCAAAUCAUCAUGCCCCUUAUGACCUGGGCUACACACGUGCUACAAUGGGCGGUACAAAGGGUCGCGAACCCGCGAGGGGGAGCCAAUCCCAAAAAGCCGCUCUCAGUUCGGAUUGCAGGCUGCAACUCGCCUGCAUGAAGCCGGAAUCGCUAGUAAUCGCGGAUCAGCGUGCCGCGGUGAAUACGUUCCCGGGCCUU
RNAcentral lists this ribosomal RNA (337 nucleotides) under uncultured Anoxybacillus sp. Its description in RNAcentral is "bacterial SSU rRNA". It matches the Rfam family "Bacterial small subunit ribosomal RNA", at positions 1044 to 1382 of the family's 1533-position model. Lineage: Bacteria; Bacillati; Bacillota; Bacilli; Caryophanales; Anoxybacillaceae. The record is from RNAcentral.